AGCGAACGCUGGCGGCAGGCCUAACACAUGCAAGUCGAACGAAGUCUUCGGACUUAGUGGCGGACGGGUGAGUAACACGUGGGAACGUACCUUUAGGUUCGGAACAACUCAGGGAAACUUGAGCUAAUACCGGAUAAGCCCUUCGGGGGAAAGAUUUAUCGCCUUUAGAGCGGCCCGCGUUAGAUUAGCUAGUUGGUGAGGUAAAGGCUCACCAAGGCUACGAUCUAUAGCUGGUCUGAGAGGAUGAUCAGCCACACUGGGACUGAGACACGGCCCAGACUCCUACGGGAGGCAGCAGUGGGGAAUCUUGCGCAAUGGGCGAAAGCCUGACGCAGCCAUGCCGCGUGAAUGAUGAAGGUCUUAGGAUUGUAAAAUUCUUUUACCAGGGACGAUAAUGACGGUACCUGGAGAAAAAGCCCCGGCUAACUUCGUGCCAGCCGCCGCCGUAA
RNAcentral lists this ribosomal RNA (449 nucleotides) under uncultured bacterium. Its description in RNAcentral is "partial 16S ribosomal RNA". It matches the Rfam family "Bacterial small subunit ribosomal RNA", at positions 29 to 523 of the family's 1533-position model. The record is from RNAcentral.